UACAGAGGUCUCAAGCGUUGUUCGGAUUCAUUGGGCGUAAAGGGUGCGUAGGUGGCGCCGUAAGUCAGGUGUGAAAUUUCGGAGCUUAACUCCGAAACUGCAUUUGAUACUGCGGUGCUUGAGGACUGGAGAGGAGACUGGAAUUUACGGUGUAGCAGUGAAAUGCGUAGAGAUCGUAAGGAAGACCAGUGGCGAAGGCGGGUCUCUGGACAGUUCCUGACGCUGAGACGCGAAAGCCAGGGGAGCAAACGGG
This 253-nucleotide ribosomal RNA is filed under the name uncultured bacterium. RNAcentral's name for it is "partial 16S ribosomal RNA". It matches the Rfam family "Bacterial small subunit ribosomal RNA", at positions 524 to 776 of the family's 1533-position model. The record is from RNAcentral.